ACCUAACUGAUGAGCCCCAGAUCC
This 24-nucleotide non-coding RNA is filed under the name Cricetulus griseus (Chinese hamster). The record is from RNAcentral. Lineage: Eukaryota; Metazoa; Chordata; Mammalia; Rodentia; Cricetidae.